AACUAAGUUUGUCAUUGGUAUGAGCUUUCAUGUACAUGCACACUUCUUCAGAUACCUGAAUCUGAAGAAGUAUCUGGUAUCUGAAGAAGUGUGCAUGCACACAAAAGCUCAUACCAAUAACAAACUUAGUUGG
Molecule: microRNA precursor, 133 nt
Filed under: Podarcis lilfordi (Lilford's wall lizard)
Lineage: Eukaryota; Metazoa; Chordata; Lepidosauria; Squamata; Lacertidae
Source: RNAcentral